Molecule: non-coding RNA, 74 nt
Organism: Solanum tuberosum (potato)
Lineage: Eukaryota; Viridiplantae; Streptophyta; Magnoliopsida; Solanales; Solanaceae
Source: RefSeq, marked provisional
AUAAUUUGGAGGAAUAGGAACCGUACCAUUAGGAGAAGCUUGCUUGGUACCUCUUCCCUUUUCCGAAAGUGUAG